UCUAAAAUUUAGAACGCGCAUCAACUAUGGACUAGUCGAAUCAAUAAGGGUUCGCUAGUCUAAUAAUGUUUAACAGUAAAUGAAUAUUUAACUUGAAUAACAUCUCAAAAGGUAUACAAUAGAAUAAUUAUUGUAUAACAACAUCAUGCUUGAAGAUUAAUAAACUUUAAUAUCCAAGACAGGCUUGAUCAAUAAUAAUGAGAACUUGCUCAAUAUCGAAAGAGGAAUUAAUCAAUUUAUAUAACGAUAACAAGUAAAGUUAGGAAACUUGAUCAACGAAAGUUUAGGGUAAGAAACUUGCUCAACGUAAAUGUCGAGUUAGAAAACUUGCUCAAUGUAACAAGAUAAGGUUUAGAAACUUG
This 362-nucleotide long non-coding RNA is filed under the name Panax ginseng (ginseng). RNAcentral describes it as "long non-coding RNA (PGIN_LNC009604)". Lineage: Eukaryota; Viridiplantae; Streptophyta; Magnoliopsida; Apiales; Araliaceae. The record is from RNAcentral.